UCAGCGUUUUUAAGCCUUGGAGUAUCUUUGUCCACGUCUGUAGCCGAUUGUGUGAGCAGAAAUGGGUCGACAAGUUUUACAUAAAAGAUGAAAACGUUAUCAACGCCUGAAGUCUUUUUUGUCAGCUAUCUGUCUAGCAUGGUCCAGAACGCUUGUGCGAGGACAGAAUAGUAAAAGGACAGUUACACGGCGGGCUAGAACCAGAUUCACUGUCGACCACACACUGCAGCCAAGACAAGAACAUCAUGGACCAACAAAGGCAAGCAGACCAAACCGGAGAUUUUGAGGUCGUGUCACAAAUUGCAGGGUCCAAGUCAUCUGGGAGAUCAAGUAGGUCCUCAGCCAGUGCAGCAGCUACCAAGGCAAAAGCUAAAGCAGAGGCGGCCCUGGUAGAAGCCAGGUAUGCAGCACAAGAAG
Molecule: long non-coding RNA, 417 nt
Organism: Archocentrus centrarchus (flier cichlid)
Lineage: Eukaryota; Metazoa; Chordata; Actinopteri; Cichliformes; Cichlidae
Exons: 3
Source: RefSeq, a predicted model, not a curated record